CACGUAGUUAGCCGUGGCUUAUUCGACAGGUACCGUCUUCUACUCUUCCCUGCCAAAAGAAGUUUACAACCCGAAAGCCUUCUUCCUUCACGCGGCGUUGCUGGGUCAGGCUUGCGCCCAUUGCCCAAUAUUCCCCACUGCUGCCUCCCGUAGGAGUCUGGGCCGUAUCUCAGUCCCAAUGUGGCCGGCCAACCUCUCAGUCCGGCUACUGAUCGUCGCCUUGGUGAGCCGUUACCUCACCAACUAGCUAAUCAGACGCGAGGCCAUCUUUCAGCGAUAAAUCUUUGACAUAAAUGCCAUGCGACACCUAUGUGUUAUGCGGUAUUAGCAGUCGUUUCCAACUGUUGUCCCCCUCUGAAAGGCAGGUUCCUCACGCGUUACUCACCCGUCCGCCACUAAGCAACCUAUUCCGUUGACCGAAAUCUCCUUCAUAGGCGCUCCGUUCGACUUGCAUGUGUUAAGCACGCCGCCAGCGUUCGUCCUGAGCCAGGAUCAAACUCU
RNAcentral lists this ribosomal RNA (501 nucleotides) under uncultured Oscillibacter sp. RNAcentral's name for it is "partial 16S ribosomal RNA". Lineage: Bacteria; Bacillati; Bacillota; Clostridia; Eubacteriales; Oscillospiraceae. The record is from RNAcentral.